Long non-coding RNA from Cryptomeria japonica (Japanese cedar), 736 nucleotides. RefSeq lists it as uncharacterized. NCBI's taxonomy places the organism in Eukaryota, Viridiplantae, Streptophyta, Pinopsida, Cupressales, Cupressaceae. The record is from RefSeq and is a predicted model, not a curated record. The transcript has 2 exons.
CUAAAAACAAUAAUUUUGUGAAAAGAAACCAAAAUAAAAAAUAUUGAUGACUUGAAAAAAAAUAAUGAGAGAUUGACAACCAAUAAUUUACAAUUAUUAAUGUCUCUUGAAAAUCUUAAAAAUUAAGUUAAAUCAAAUUUUAUGCUAAUCUAUUUUAACAGAAUUUGUAGAUCUCACUAUGGAAGUUUUUUUUGUGUGGUUGUAGUUCAGUAACUUGGUUUUCUUAUCAAUCCAUCUAACAAAUUGUUUCAGAAAUCUCAUUUUUUCUGCCAGCAAUUACAUGAUGAUAACAAAAGUACACUUGCCUUUAACUUCAUAUAAUGUUCAAGUGUCAACAUACUGCAAUAUGUUGCAUUCUGAUUGGCCUGUGCAACCGACAUGGAAGAUACUUGAAGUUUUAGUGCAAGGGAAUGUGACACAUGCUACCGUUCAAAUUUGGAUCCAAAGUGUUUUUUGUUUAUCUCAAUUUGUUUUUCAUCACAAUGAUGGAUAACAAAGAGGUCUCAAUGCAUUCCAUUUUCAGGAAUCUUGGAAAUUUUGUUAGGUCUACUCAUGACAGAAGGGAGAAAAGAAUUAAUUCUCCUUUCUUCUUGAGAGGAAAAUAUGGUUCUCUUCUAGCAUUUUGGAAGGAUUGGUCUAUUUGUUUGUUAUAGGAAAAAAGGAAGAACAAUUACAGAUUAUGGAAGCGGCAUAAGUUUUGAUCCUUAUAAAUGAAACUUUAAGUUCAAGAACAGAA